Molecule: long non-coding RNA, 568 nt
Filed under: Rosa chinensis
Lineage: Eukaryota; Viridiplantae; Streptophyta; Magnoliopsida; Rosales; Rosaceae
Description: sRNA RchiOBHm_Chr7g0235641
Source: RNAcentral
AUGUAUAUAUCUUUUUGGCUGCUAUACUUGGUCUAUCAUUGUCCCCUGUGGUCUGCAAGAGUUUGAUGCAUCUAGGAAUACUUUUGCUGUUAUUCUGGUGGUUCAGUUCAAUGCUGCAUAACCGGUUGAUAGAAACAUUUCAAAUUAUUUGGUACUAGACAUAAAGGUAUUGCAUUAUUAAUGUUGUUAUCCUAUUUUCUUUCGAGUAUCAGUCACUUUUUAAUUCCUUAGUUUCAUGUUUGAAUAUGAUUCUUAUGAAGAAGUUAAUUUUAUAACCUUUGAUGAAUCAGGCAUAUCUUAAUGCAAUUCUUCUCAUAUACCUGUGUACUCACGAGGUCAUGAAGCAAGCAGAAAAUACUACAAUGAUUGCUCCGAGUAGGUAAAAAGCUCUGAUAAGAUUGUGAAACUGGUACAGCAGUACAGCUAGCUAGUUCCUUUAUUAACUUGUGUCUAGUGGAAAUUCUUCCUUCAUUAAGCAUUUGGACUUGUCUGCAUAUCCAGAUUAGUAGAUAUGGGUCAUUUUGAACUGAUGUUCAUGAUUAGGUUUGUGUACAUGAGACAAUGGUGG